RNAcentral lists this ribosomal RNA (328 nucleotides) under uncultured Lachnospiraceae bacterium. RNAcentral's name for it is "bacterial SSU rRNA". It matches the Rfam family "Bacterial small subunit ribosomal RNA", at positions 28 to 339 of the family's 1533-position model. The record is from RNAcentral. Lineage: Bacteria; Bacillati; Bacillota; Clostridia; Lachnospirales; Lachnospiraceae.
GAUGAACGCUGGCGGCGUGCUUAACACAUGCAAGUCGAACGGAGUACAUCAACCGAGACCUUCGGGUCUCACCUGUUGUACUUAGUGGCGGACGGGUGAGUAACGCGUGAGCAACCAACCUCAUACAGAGGGAUAACAAUUAGAAAUGAUUGCUAAUACCACAUAAGACCACGGGAUCGCAUGUUCCAGUGGGAAAAACUCCGGUGGUAUGAGACGGGCUCGCGUUCGAUUAGCUAGUUGGUGAGGUAACGGCCCACCAAGGCGACGAUCGAUAGCCGGACUGAGAGGUCGACCGGCCACAUUGGGACUGAGACACGGCCCAGACUCC